UGGGGAAUUUUGGACAAUGGGCGCAAGCCUGAUCCAGCCAUGCCGCGUGCGGGAAGAAGGCCUUCGGGUUGUAAACCGCUUUUGUCAGGGAAGAAAUCUUCUGAGUUAAUACCUCGGGAGGAUGACGGUACCUGAAGAAUAAGCACCGGCUAACUACGUGCCGGCAGCCGCGGUAAUACGUAGGGUGCAAGCGUUAAUCGGAAUUACUGGGCGUAAAGCGUGCGCAGGCGGUUUUGUAAGACAGAGGUGAAAUCCCCGGGCUCAACCUGGGAACUGCCUUUGUGACUGCAAGGCUUGAGUGCGGCAGAGGGGGAUGGAAUUCCGCGUGUAGCAGUGAAAUGCGUAGAUAUGCGGAGGAACACCGAUGGCGAAGGCAAUCCCCUGGGCCUGCACUGACGCUCAUGCACGAAAGCGUGGGGAGCAAACAGGAUUAGAUACCCUGGUAGUCCACGCCCUAAACGAUGUCAACUGGUUGUUGGGAAGGUUCCUUCUCAGUAACGUAGCUAACGCGUGAAGUUGACCGCCUGGGGAGUACGGCCGCAAGGUUGAAAACUCAAAGGAAUUGACGGGGUCAUAGCUGUUUCCU
This 586-nucleotide ribosomal RNA is filed under the name uncultured bacterium. Its description in RNAcentral is "partial 16S ribosomal RNA". It matches the Rfam family "Bacterial small subunit ribosomal RNA", at positions 355 to 1375 of the family's 1533-position model. The record is from RNAcentral.